GAGGGAUGGCUGAGCGGUUGAAAGCAACGGUCUUGAAAACCGUCAAGGGGGUAACUCCUUCCAGGGUUCGAAUCCCUGUCCCUC
Molecule: transfer RNA, 84 nt
Filed under: fish gut metagenome
Rfam family: tRNA
About the family: Transfer RNA (tRNA) molecules are approximately 80 nucleotides in length.
Source: RNAcentral